This 253-nucleotide ribosomal RNA is filed under the name uncultured bacterium. RNAcentral describes it as "partial 16S ribosomal RNA". It matches the Rfam family "Bacterial small subunit ribosomal RNA", at positions 524 to 776 of the family's 1533-position model. The record is from RNAcentral.
UACGGGGGGGGCAAGCGUUGUUCGGAAUUACUGGGCGUAAAGGGCUCGUAGGCGGCCAACUAAGUCAGACGUGAAAUCCCUCGGCUUAACCGGGGAACUGCGUCUGAUACUGGUUGGCUUGAAUCCGGGAGAGGGAUGUGGAAUUCCAGGUGUAGCGGUGAAAUGCGUAGAGAUGUGGAGGAACACCGAUGGCGAAGGCAGCCUCCUGGGCCAGCACUGACGCUCAUGCACGAAAGCGUGGGGAGCAAACAGG